UACGUAGGGUGCAAGCGUUAAUCGGAAUUACUGGGUGUAAAGCGUGCGCAGGCGGCUUUGCAAGACAGAUGUGAAAUCCCCGGGCUUAACCUGGGAACUGCAUUUGUGACUGCAUGGCUAGAGUGCGGCAGAGGGGGAUGGAAUUCCGCGUGUAGCAGUGAAAUGCGUAGAUAUGCGGAGGAACACCGAUGGCGAAGGCAAUCCCCUGGGCCUGCACUGACGCUCAUGCACGAAAGCGUGGGGAGCAAACAGG
Molecule: ribosomal RNA, 253 nt
Filed under: uncultured bacterium
Lineage: Bacteria
Description: partial 16S ribosomal RNA
Rfam family: Bacterial small subunit ribosomal RNA
Source: RNAcentral